This 497-nucleotide ribosomal RNA is filed under the name uncultured bacterium. RNAcentral's name for it is "partial 16S ribosomal RNA". It matches the Rfam family "Bacterial small subunit ribosomal RNA", at positions 28 to 507 of the family's 1533-position model. The record is from RNAcentral.
GAUGAACGCUGGCGGCGUGCCUAAUACAUGCAAGUCGAGCGAACAGAUGAGGAGCUUGCUCCUCUGACGUUAGCGGCGGACGGGUGAGUAACACGUGGAUAACCUACCUAUAAGACUGGGAUAACUUCGGGAAACCGGAGCUAAUACCGGAUAAUAUAUUGAACCGCAUGGUUCAAUAGUGAAAGACGGUUUUGCUGUCACUUAUAGAUGGAUCCGCGCCGCAUUAGCUAGUUGGUAAGGUAACGGCUUACCAAGGCAACGAUGCGUAGCCGACCUGAGAGGGUGAUCGGCCACACUGGAACUGAGACACGGUCCAGACUCCUACGGGAGGCAGCAGUAGGGAAUCUUCCGCAAUGGGCGAAAGCCUGACGGAGCAACGCCGCGUGAGUGAUGAAGGUCUUCGGAUCGUAAAACUCUGUUAUUAGGGAAGAACAAAUGUGUAAGUAACUCUGCACGUCUUGACGGUACCUAAUCAGAAAGCCACGGCUAACUACGUG